RNAcentral lists this ribosomal RNA (543 nucleotides) under Aureobasidium namibiae. RNAcentral's name for it is "eukaryotic LSU rRNA". It matches the Rfam family "Eukaryotic large subunit ribosomal RNA", at positions 96 to 655 of the family's 3401-position model. The record is from RNAcentral. Lineage: Eukaryota; Fungi; Ascomycota; Dothideomycetes; Dothideales; Saccotheciaceae.
GAGCGGCAACAGCUCAAUUUGAAAGCUAGCCUUCGGGUUCGCAUUGUAAUUUGUAGAGGAUGCUUUGGGUAAAACGCCAGUCUAAGUUCCUUGGAACAGGACGUCAUAGAGGGUGAGAAUCCCGUAUGUGACUGGAAAUGUUAACCUAUGUAAAGCUCCUUCGACGAGUCGAGUUGUUUGGGAAUGCAGCUCUAAAUGGGAGGUAAAUUUCUUCUAAAGCUAAAUAUUGGCGAGAGACCGAUAGCGCACAAGUAGAGUGAUCGAAAGAUGAAAAGCACUUUGGAAAGAGAGUUAAAAAGCACGUGAAAUUGUUGAAAGGGAAGCGCUUGCAAUCAGACUUGUUUAAACUGUUCGGCCGGUCUUCUGACCGGUUUACUCAGUUUGGACAGGCCAGCAUCAGUUUCGGCGGCCGGAUAAAGGCUCUGGGAAUGUGGCCUCCACUUCGGUGGAGGUGUUAUAGCCCAGUGUGUAAUACGGCCAGCCGGGACUGAGGUCCGCGCUUCGGCUAGGAUGCUGGCGUAAUGGUUGUAAGCGACCCGUCUU